This 1654-nucleotide ribosomal RNA is filed under the name Escherichia coli. Its description in RNAcentral is "partial 23S ribosomal RNA". It matches the Rfam family "Bacterial large subunit ribosomal RNA", at positions 1216 to 2849 of the family's 2925-position model. The record is from RNAcentral. Lineage: Bacteria; Pseudomonadati; Pseudomonadota; Gammaproteobacteria; Enterobacterales; Enterobacteriaceae.
AUGCGUUGUUGGGUAGGGGAGCGUUCUGUAAGCCUGCGAAGGUGUGCUGUGAGGCAUGCUGGAGGUAUCAGAAGUGCGAAUGCUGACAUAAGUAACGAUAAAGCGGGUGAAAAGCCCGCUCGCCGGAAGACCAAGGGUUCCUGUCCAACGUUAAUCGGGGCAGGGUGAGUCGACCCCUAAGGCGAGGCCGAAAGGCGUAGUCGAUGGGAAACAGGUUAAUAUUCCUGUACUUGGUGUUACUGCGAAGGGGGGACGGAGAAGGCUAUGUUGGCCGGGCGACGGUUGUCCCGGUUUAAGCGUGUAGGCUGGUUUUCCAGGCAAAUCCGGAAAAUCAAGGCUGAGGCGUGAUGACGAGGCACUACGGUGCUGAAGCAACAAAUGCCCUGCUUCCAGGAAAAGCCUCUAAGCAUCAGGUAACAUCAAAUCGUACCCCAAACCGACACAGGUGGUCAGGUAGAGAAUACCAAGGCGCUUGAGAGAACUCGGGUGAAGGAACUAGGCAAAAUGGUGCCGUAACUUCGGGAGAAGGCACGCUGAUAUGUAGGUGAAGUCCCUCGCGGAUGGAGCUGAAAUCAGUCGAAGAUACCAGCUGGCUGCAACUGUUUAUUAAAAACACAGCACUGUGCAAACACGAAAGUGGACGUAUACGGUGUGACGCCUGCCCGGUGCCGGAAGGUUAAUUGAUGGGGUUAGCGCAAGCGAAGCUCUUGAUCGAAGCCCCGGUAAACGGCGGCCGUAACUAUAACGGUCCUAAGGUAGCGAAAUUCCUUGUCGGGUAAGUUCCGACCUGCACGAAUGGCGUAAUGAUGGCCAGGCUGUCUCCACCCGAGACUCAGUGAAAUUGAACUCGCUGUGAAGAUGCAGUGUACCCGCGGCAAGACGGAAAGACCCCGUGAACCUUUACUAUAGCUUGACACUGAACAUUGAGCCUUGAUGUGUAGGAUAGGUGGGAGGCUUUGAAGUGUGGACGCCAGUCUGCAUGGAGCCGACCUUGAAAUACCACCCUUUAAUGUUUGAUGUUCUAACGUUGACCCGUAAUCCGGGUUGCGGACAGUGUCUGGUGGGUAGUUUGACUGGGGCGGUCUCCUCCUAAAGAGUAACGGAGGAGCACGAAGGUUGGCUAAUCCUGGUCGGACAUCAGGAGGUUAGUGCAAUGGCAUAAGCCAGCUUGACUGCGAGCGUGACGGCGCGAGCAGGUGCGAAAGCAGGUCAUAGUGAUCCGGUGGUUCUGAAUGGAAGGGCCAUCGCUCAACGGAUAAAAGGUACUCCGGGGAUAACAGGCUGAUACCGCCCAAGAGUUCAUAUCGACGGCGGUGUUUGGCACCUCGAUGUCGGCUCAUCACAUCCUGGGGCUGAAGUAGGUCCCAAGGGUAUGGCUGUUCGCCAUUUAAAGUGGUACGCGAGCUGGGUUUAGAACGUCGUGAGACAGUUCGGUCCCUAUCUGCCGUGGGCGCUGGAGAACUGAGGGGGGCUGCUCCUAGUACGAGAGGACCGGAGUGGACGCAUCACUGGUGUUCGGGUUGUCAUGCCAAUGGCACUGCCCGGUAGCUAAAUGCGGAAGAGAUAAGUGCUGAAAGCAUCUAAGCACGAAACUUGCCCCGAGAUGAGUUCUCCCUGACCCUUUAAGGGUCCUGAAGGAACGUUGAAGACGACG